UGGGGAAUAUUGCACAAUGGGCGAAAGCCUGAUGCAGCAACGCCGCGUGAGCGAUNAAGGCCUGGGUCGUAAAGCUCUGUCCUCAAGGAAGAUAAUGACGGUACUUGAGGAGGAAGCCCCGGCUAACUACGUGCCAGCAGCC
RNAcentral lists this ribosomal RNA (142 nucleotides) under uncultured bacterium. RNAcentral's name for it is "partial 16S ribosomal RNA". It matches the Rfam family "Bacterial small subunit ribosomal RNA", at positions 355 to 516 of the family's 1533-position model. The record is from RNAcentral.